AGAGUUUGAUCCUGGCUCAGGAUGAACGCUAGCUACAGGCUUAACACAUGCAAGUCGAGGGGCAGCAUGGUCUUAGCUUGCUAAGGCCGAUGGCGACCGGCGCACGGGUGAGUAACACGUAUCCAACCUGCCGUCUACUCUUGGACAGCCUUCUGAAAGGAAGAUUAAUACAAGAUGGCAUCAUGAGUCCGCAUGUUCACAUGAUUAAAGGUAUUCCGGUAGACGAUGGGGAUGCGUUCCAUUAGAUAGUAGGCGGGGUAACGGCCCACCUAGUCUUCGAUGGAUAGGGGUUCUGAGAGGAAGGUCCCCCACAUUGGAACUGAGACACGGUCCAAACUCCUACGGGAGGCAGCAGUGAGGAAUAUUGGUCAAUGGGCGAGAGCCUGAACCAGCCAAGUAGCGUGAAGGAUGACUGCCCUAUGGGUUGUAAACUUCUUUUAUAAAGGAAUAAAGUCGGGUAUGCAUACCCGUUUGCAUGUACUUUAUGAAUAAGGAUCGGCUAACUCCGUGCCAGCAGCCGCGGUAAUACGGAGGAUCCGAGCGUUAUCCGGAUUUAUUGGGUUUAAAGGGAGCGUAGAUGGAUGUUUAAGUCAGUUGUGAAAGUUUGCGGCUCAACCGUAAAAUUGCAGUUGAUACUGGAUAUCUUGAGUGCAGUUGAGGCAGGCGGAAUUCGUGGUGUAGCGGUGAAAUGCUUAGAUAUCACGAAGAACUCCGAUUGCGAAGGCAGCCUGCUAAGCUGCAACUGACAUUGAGGCUCGAAAGUGUGGGUAUCAAACAGGAUUAGAUACCCUGGUAGUCCACACGGUAAACGAUGAAUACUCGCUGUUUGCGAUAUACAGCAAGCGGCCAAGCGAAAGCGUUAAGUAUUCCACCUGGGGAGUACGCCGGCAACGGUGAAACUCAAAGGAAUUGACGGGGGCCCGCACAAGCGGAGGAACAUGUGGUUUAAUUCGAUGAUACGCGAGGAACCUUACCCGGGCUUAAAUUGCAGAUGAAUUACGGUGAAAGCCGUAAGCCGCAAGGCAUCUGUGAAGGUGCUGCAUGGUUGUCGUCAGCUCGUGCCGUGAGGUGUCGGCUUAAGUGCCAUAACGAGCGCAACCCUUGUUGUCAGUUACUAACAGGUUCUGCUGAGGACUCUGACAAGACUGCCAUCGUAAGAUGUGAGGAAGGUGGGGAUGACGUCAAAUCAGCACGGCCCUUACGUCCGGGGCUACACACGUGUUACAAUGGGGGGUACAGAGGGCCGCUACCACGCGAGUGGAUGCCAAUCCCCAAAACCUCUCUCAGUUCGGACUGGAGUCUGCAACCCGACUCCACGAAGCUGGAUUCGCUAGUAAUCGCGCAUCAGCCACGGCGCGGUGAAUACGUUCCCGGGCCUUGUACACACCGCCCGUCAAGCCAUGGGAGCCGGGGGUACCUGAAGUGCGUAACCGCGAGGAGCGCCCUAGGGUAAAACUGGUGACUGGGGCUAAGUCGUAACAAGGUA
RNAcentral lists this ribosomal RNA (1486 nucleotides) under metagenome. Its description in RNAcentral is "bacterial SSU rRNA". It matches the Rfam family "Bacterial small subunit ribosomal RNA". The record is from RNAcentral.